GGGGAUUUAGCUCAGUGGUAGAGCGCUUGCCUAGCAAGCGCAAGGCCCUGGGUUCAGUCCCCAGCCCCG
This is a non-coding RNA of Rattus norvegicus (Norway rat), 69 nucleotides long. The record is from Rfam. NCBI's taxonomy places the organism in Eukaryota, Metazoa, Chordata, Mammalia, Rodentia, Muridae.